Molecule: long non-coding RNA, 502 nt
Organism: Pristis pectinata (smalltooth sawfish)
Lineage: Eukaryota; Metazoa; Chordata; Chondrichthyes; Rhinopristiformes; Pristidae
Exons: 2
Source: RefSeq, a predicted model, not a curated record
CAGAUCUUCUCUCAACAUAUGUACCAAUAUUUCUGGGAGAAUGCCUCUCUUUCAGCUGGUCAUCUACCUCUCCUUCUCUCUCUAUGUUCUGGUGCUCCUGCUGGUGGCUUUUACCUGCAGACAGAUGAUAAAAACCCUCCUCAGAGGCCGGCCCGUGUCCAUCGCACUCCAAAGGACCAGCUCUGCAGGCAGGACCCUGCCAAAGUUUAAGGAGAUGAGGCGGCAAAACGUGGUGAUGCUGGGUCCUAUGUCACGUCUGUUGUUCAGUGAAGGGGCUGACCGACACUGGAGGAGGACUGAAUGGAUACUGUUUCCUCUCCACCAUUUCACCCAGCUCAGCAUUCCCCACACGUGAGUCUGAUAUUGGGUGACAAAGAACUAUUCACUCGCAGGGACUUUGAAGUGGAGCUUCAAUCAAUUAAUUUUCCAGCAGAGGUCACUGGAUGGAGAUCAGCAUUGCCAGGCUUUUCCCUUUGUGAAAUAAAGAUUAAUUUGAAGUUCA